UACGUAGGGUGCAAGCGUUGUCCGGAAUUAUUGGGCGUAAAGAGCUCGUAGGCGGUCUGUCGCGUCGGCUGUGAAAUCCCGGAGCUCAACUCCGGGCCUGCAGUCGAUACGGGCAGACUGGAGUUCGGCAGGGGAGACUGGAAUUCCUGGUGUAGCGGUGAAAUGCGCAGAUAUCAGGAGGAACACCGGUGGCGAAGGCGGGUCUCUGGGCAGUAACUGACGCUGAGGAGCGAAAGCGUGGGGAGCGAACAGG
This 253-nucleotide ribosomal RNA is filed under the name uncultured bacterium. Its description in RNAcentral is "partial 16S ribosomal RNA". It matches the Rfam family "Bacterial small subunit ribosomal RNA", at positions 524 to 776 of the family's 1533-position model. The record is from RNAcentral.